CGAAGCAUAGAUCAAUGGCAGAUCAUACGGCUUUACACACCCCAGCCGUAAAUUCUGGUUCGAUUCCGGGUGCUUCGUA
This 79-nucleotide transfer RNA is filed under the name Caudoviricetes sp. Its description in RNAcentral is "tRNA-Val". It matches the Rfam family "tRNA". Rfam says of the family: Transfer RNA (tRNA) molecules are approximately 80 nucleotides in length. Lineage: Duplodnaviria; Heunggongvirae; Uroviricota; Caudoviricetes. The record is from RNAcentral.